This 701-nucleotide long non-coding RNA is filed under the name Anser brachyrhynchus (Pink-footed goose). RNAcentral's name for it is "lncRNA (ENSABRG00000010539.1)". The record is from RNAcentral. Lineage: Eukaryota; Metazoa; Chordata; Aves; Anseriformes; Anatidae.
CAGGUACCGACCUGCACAGUAUGAGCAGGGGGGAACAGGGACCCCCAGCAUGCAGGAACAGCCUGCCCGACCUGAAGGCUCCUGCGCCCUGUCCUGACGGCAAGAGGCGAUGGGGGAGAGAACGCUGCGAGCGCCACCAAACUGCACUGGGAGGUUUCAAGAAAGCCACGGGCAAGGCAGAGGUGAGAGAGGUGCCCAAGGGACAGCUAAAAAGCAAGCCUGUCCCUGGCAGGACACCGGCCCAGCCCACCGCUCUCGAGGGACCAGGCACCUCCCCAGAGAAACUCCUGUGCAGAAGCCCUCUUCGCACGCUAAAUCCCUUGGCAACAUCCCAUCGACGCGAUAGCUGAGGCAUGCAACCCCAGCCCUGCUUAUCUGCGGCUUACGCAGGCCUCAGUCAAGUCCAGGAGCCCGGAGCAGCAUGCAAGGACCCGAGAGGUUCAGCCUCACCCACCCACCCCGACACCACCUCCUCGCACAGCAGAAGGAGCUCGGGCUCCCUGCAUCCCGCUGCAGCUGCACAGCCCCAGCACGUGCACACAGCUCGGCCUCUGCAGAGGGCAGGUAACUGAUACCAAAAUAAGGGACACCUGCGGGGAGGCUCUGAGAACGGCUCAGAAAGCUGGGGGAUCGUCAGGAGGGCAAAAAAAUCACCCCCAGGUGCUGAGCCUUGCUCAAGGGUGUGCCUUGCUACAGCAAGG